This 1004-nucleotide ribosomal RNA is filed under the name uncultured bacterium. Its description in RNAcentral is "bacterial SSU rRNA". It matches the Rfam family "Bacterial small subunit ribosomal RNA", at positions 502 to 1504 of the family's 1533-position model. The record is from RNAcentral.
AUUGUGCCAGCGGCCGCGGUAAUACGUAGGGUGCGAGCGUUAAUCGGAAUUACUGGGCGUAAAGCGUGCGCAGGCGGUUUUGUAAGACAGGCGUGAAAUCCCCGGGCUCAACCUGGGAACUGCGCUUGUGACUGCAAGGCUAGAGUAUGGCAGAGGGGGGUGGAAUUCCACGUGUAGCAGUGAAAUGCGUAGAGAUGUGGAGGAACACCAAUGGCGAAGGCAGCCCCCUGGGCCAAUACUGACGCUCAUGCACGAAAGCGUGGGUAGCAAACAGGAUUAGAUACCCUGGUAGUCCACGCCCUAAACGAUGUCAACUAGGUGUUGGGUGGGUAAAACCAUUUAGUACCGGAGCUAACGCGUGAAGUUGACCGCCUGGGGAGUACGGCCGCAAGGUUAAAACUCAAAGGAAUUGACGGGGACCCGCACAAGCGGUGGAUGAUGUGGAUUAAUUCGAUGCAACGCGAAAAACCUUACCUACCCUUGACAUGUCCAGGAGCCUGAAGAGAUUUGGGUGUGCCCGAAAGGGAACUGGAACACAGGUGCUGCAUGGCUGUCGUCAGCUCGUGUCGUGAGAUGUUGGGUUAAGUCCCGCAACGAGCGCAACCCUUGUCGUUAAUUGCCAUCAUUUAGUUGGGCACUUUAACGAGACUGCCGGUGACAAACCGGAGGAAGGUGGGGAUGACGUCAAGUCCUCAUGGCCCUUAUGGGUAGGGCUUCACACGUCAUACAAUGGUCGGUACAGAGGGUUGCCAAGCCGCGAGGUGGAGCCAAUCCCAGAAAGCCGAUCGUAGUCCGGAUUGCAGUCUGCAACUCGACUGCAUGAAGUCGGAAUCGCUAGUAAUCGCGGAUCAGCAUGUCGCGGUGAAUACGUUCCCGGGUCUUGUACACACCGCCCGUCACACCAUGGGAGCGGGUUUCACCAGAAGCCGGUCGCCUAACCGCAAGGGGGGCGCCGACCACGGUGAGAUUCGUGACUGGGGUGAAGUCGUAACAAGGUAACCAAU